Molecule: small RNA, 83 nt
Filed under: Plasmodium falciparum 3D7
Lineage: Eukaryota; Apicomplexa; Aconoidasida; Haemosporida; Plasmodiidae
Description: Pfa-npcR6230
Source: RNAcentral
AUUUCUGUAUAUGUAUGUUUGAGCGUUUGGAUAUAUAUAUAUAUAUGGACGUAUAUGUGUUUCUGUAUAUGUAUGUAUUUUAU